RNAcentral lists this ribosomal RNA (253 nucleotides) under uncultured bacterium. RNAcentral describes it as "partial 16S ribosomal RNA". It matches the Rfam family "Bacterial small subunit ribosomal RNA", at positions 524 to 776 of the family's 1533-position model. The record is from RNAcentral.
GACGUAGGGCGCGAGCGUUGUCCGGAUUUAUUGGGCGUAAAGAGCUCGUAGGCGGCUUGUCGCGUCGACCGUGAAAACUUGGGGCUCAACCCCAAGCCUGCGGUCGAUACGGGCAGGCUCGAGUUCGGUAGGGGAGACUGGAAUUCCUGGUGUAGCGGUGAAAUGCGCAGAUAUCAGGAGGAACACCGAUGGCGAAGGCAGGUCUCUGGGCCACUACUGACGCUGAGAAGCGAAAGCAUGGGGAGCGAACAGG